GUCGUAACAAGGUAGCCGUAGGGGAACCUGGGGCUGGAUCACCUCCUUUAAAGAAACCGGAAUAAGGCGUGAAAGCGCCCACACAAUUUGCCUAAUCUAUAGAUAGACCGCGGGUCUGUAGCUCAGUUGGUUAGAGCGCACCCCUGAUAAGGGUGGGGUCGGAAGUUCAAAUCUUCCCAGACCCACCACCUUCGCGCGAGUAGGAGCAAGAAGGUAGCAAGGGGCCAUAGCUCAGAUGGGAGAGCACCUGCUUUGCAAGCAGGGGGUCGGCGGUUCGAUCCCGCCUGGCUUCACCAGGCGAUAAACUGCGGCGGCAAUUUGCCGCCGCCGUUUAAUUCCUGGCCGAGGCGCCACGGGACGUUCUUUUACAACUUAGGUAGUAGUGAUGUACGACGGUGAAGUCGGGGCAGAGUUUGACGUCCUGACUUUACUGGGUAUGCCAGCAUUUAUUAUGGUAGUAGUUGUAACACCAAGAAGAGCAGUCUUUUUGGGGUUAUAUGAUCAAGCGACUAAGCGCGCAUGGUGGAUGCCCUUGGC
This 537-nucleotide unclassified non-coding RNA is filed under the name uncultured marine bacterium. RNAcentral describes it as "partial 16S-23S ribosomal RNA intergenic spacer". The stretch from base 112 to 185 matches the Rfam family "tRNA". The record is from RNAcentral.